This 253-nucleotide ribosomal RNA is filed under the name uncultured bacterium. RNAcentral's name for it is "partial 16S ribosomal RNA". It matches the Rfam family "Bacterial small subunit ribosomal RNA", at positions 524 to 776 of the family's 1533-position model. The record is from RNAcentral.
UACGUAGGAUGCAAGCGUUGUCCGGAUUUAUUGGGCGUAAAGAGUUCGUAGGUGGUUCGUUAAGUCUGAUGUUAAAGACUGGGGCUCAACCCUGGAAGUGCAUUGGAUACUGGCGGACUUGAGUGUGGUAGAGGCAAUCGGAAUUCCAGGUGUAGCGGUGAAAUGCGUAGAUAUCUGGAAGAACACCGGUGGCGCAAGCGGAUUGCUGGGCCAUAACUGACACUGAGGAACGAAAGCUAGGGGAGCGAAUGGG